UGGGUGAUCCGUACAACCAGAGAACAUGAACCGUGUCAGGUCCGAAAGGAAGCAGCACUAAGUGUUUGACGGUGUGAUACGGAUCACUUUCAU
This 93-nucleotide signal recognition particle RNA is filed under the name Deltaproteobacteria bacterium. Its description in RNAcentral is "signal recognition particle sRNA small type". It matches the Rfam family "Bacterial small signal recognition particle RNA". From Rfam's summary of the family: The signal recognition particle (SRP) is a universally conserved ribonucleoprotein involved in the co-translational targeting of proteins to membranes. Archaeal SRP consists of a 7S RNA and homologues of the eukaryotic SRP19 and SRP54 proteins. Lineage: Bacteria; Pseudomonadati; Myxococcota; Myxococcia. The record is from RNAcentral.